GAGGGUAUAGCUCAAUGGUAGAGUGUGUGUCUAGCAUGCACGAGGUCCUGGGUUCAAUCCCUAGUAACUCUG
RNAcentral lists this transfer RNA (72 nucleotides) under Camelus bactrianus (Bactrian camel). It matches the Rfam family "tRNA". From Rfam's summary of the family: Transfer RNA (tRNA) molecules are approximately 80 nucleotides in length. Their secondary structure includes four short double-helical elements and three loops (D, anti-codon, and T loops). Further hydrogen bonds mediate the characteristic L-shaped molecular structure. tRNAs have two regions of fundamental functional importance: the anti-codon, which is responsible for specific mRNA codon recognition, and the 3' end, to which the tRNAs corresponding amino acid is attached (by aminoacyl-tRNA synthetases). tRNAs cope with the degeneracy of the genetic code in two manners: having more than one tRNA (with a specific anti-codon) for a particular amino acid; and 'wobble' base-pairing, i.e. permitting non-standard base-pairing at the 3rd anti-codon position. RNAcentral also lists the same sequence under 2 other names. The record is from Rfam by way of RNAcentral. Lineage: Eukaryota; Metazoa; Chordata; Mammalia; Artiodactyla; Camelidae.